Molecule: long non-coding RNA, 636 nt
Organism: Pipra filicauda (Wire-tailed manakin)
Lineage: Eukaryota; Metazoa; Chordata; Aves; Passeriformes; Pipridae
Exons: 2
Source: RefSeq, a predicted model, not a curated record
GAGCCUUUCCCGGGGCGAGAGCGGCUCGGCGGGGCCCAGGGAAGUGCCCAGCGGUGCCCGCAGCACUCAGGGUGACGCCCCUGGCCCUGCUCGGCUCAGGUUUCCAGCAGCAGCUCCAGGAAUCCACCCCGUGAGCACGUCACCAUCUCUGCAUACCUAAAGAAUUAAACAGCCACCCAGCAAACACCCACAAAGCACCUGUUAGCAGGUUUUUGCACAUACUGGAGCUUUAUUUCUCAGGAGAGGAAAAGUUGGUGUCACUUGGAUUUUACCAAAGGAGCCUGUGCUCACACACCAGGUGUAAAUUCCCACUCUUGGCCGUCUCAGCUUUGAAUAUUAAUUUCAGAGAAACCAAGUGAUAAAUAGGUGGGCAAAAUACUCAGGAGUAACACUCCUGCAGGAUCCCCUUUGGACAGACUGGUACUUCCACAUCCCCAGACAGCACUGCCUUCCCAGCAGGGAUGAAGGAGAAUUGGACAUUUUCAGGAAUCAAAUCCCCUGGGAUUUCUGUAACCAUGGUAACAGAUGGCAGGCCUGGUUCCAACCUGUGUUCGACUGUUCCAGCAGUAAAAAAUUGGAUUCUGUAAAUAACCAUAACUUGGAAUAAAUUCCUGGCCUUUUACUUCCCCGUUAAAA